CUGACCUGUGGCUUUGUUUCCUCUGUGGUUCCCAGUACAGCGCCGUGGACAGCAACCCCCUGUCCCUGUACGUGAUGCAUCCCUUCUGGAACACCAUCGUCAAGAUCUUCCCCACCUGGCUGGCCCCAAACUUGAUCACCUUCUCUGGCUUCCUGCUCCUUGUCUUCAACUUCUUCCUCAUGGCGUACUUCGACCCGGACUUCUACGCCUCCGCUCCUGACCACCAGCACGUUCCCAACGGAGUGUGGAUCGUUGUGGGGCUCCUCAACUUCAUGGCCUACACGUUAGAUGGAGUGGACGGGAAGCAGGCGCGCCGGACCAACUCCAGCACCCCCCUGGGGGAGCUCUUCGACCACGGGCUGGACAGCUGGGCCUGCGUGUACUUCGUGGUGACCGUCUACUCCACCUUUGGCCGCGGCUCCACCGGCGUCAGCGUCUUCGUGCUCUACCUCCUGCUCUGGGUGGUCUUGUUCUCCUUCAUCCUCUCCCACUGGGAGAAGUACAACACGGGCAUUCUGUUCCUGCCCUGGGGAUAUGACAUCAGCCAGGUGACCAUUUCAAUUGUCUACAUAGUGACAGCCUUUGUGGGAGUUGAGGCCUGGUAUGCACCUUUCCUGUUUAAUUUCUUAUAUAGAGACCUAUUCACUGCAAUGAUUAUUGCCUGUGCUCUCACUGUGACGCUGCCCAUGAGCCUGUACAACUUCUACAAGGCCUAUAAAAGCAACACCUUGAAGCACCACUCUGUGUAUGAGAUCCUGCUGCCCCUCGUGUCCCCGGUGCUGCUGUUCCUGCUCUGCACCACGUGGAUCUUCCUGUCCCCCUCUGACAUCCUGGAGGUCCAGCCCAGGCUCUUCUACUUCAUGGUUGGAACAGCCUUUGCCAACAUCUCUUGCCAGCUGAUCGUGUGCCAGAUGAGCAGCACGCGGUGCCGGCCCCUGCACUGGAUGCUGCUGCCCAUCGCGGCCGCGCUGCUGCUCGUCGCCUCGGGGCUGGCGGCCCACAGCGAGACGCUGCUGCUCUACCUGCUGACGGCCUUCCUCACCCUGGCACACAUCCACUACGGCGUGCUCGUGGUGAGCCAGCUGAGCAGGCACUUCAACAUCCGGCCCUUCUCCCUCAAGAAGCCCACCCCGGACUGACUAGGGCUGGAGGAGGAGAGAGUGGGCCUGCGCUCCGCAGAGGGACUGUAAAUACCUGCUGCAAACCCCUGUAAAUACUUCGGCCAUCCCACAGACCCAGCCUCCUCCCCCUGGACGGGCACCAGGGCUGGGACACGCCGGGGACACUCCCACCCUCCUCCGGCACCGCAAAGGGGCUUCGCCUGGAGCUGGAGCAGGAGGAGCCUCCAGGUCACUGCUACUGUAUCUGAGACCAGCUGAAUGUUCCCAGGGAAACGUCCAACGCCGGCUCUUGCUCAGGUAAAGCUGGACGGGGAUGCAAAGGCUUUACCUGAGCAAAGCCCCUCUGGGCCUGUCACCAAAACCAACACGGGGCUCGUUUCUCCCAGGUCGGGGGAACAUCCUGGUGGUCGGGGGAGUUCCUGGCUGUCCCCAGCCCUGCUGGACAACCCUCGGCCUGGGCUGGUACCUCUGGGGCACAUGGUGACAGCUCUCCCACGUUCUCUCCUGCCUUCCUGCAUUUGGGCAAAUAUUGCACCUUUUUUAAGAGGGGGGGGAAAAAAAACCCAGACACACACAAAACUUGUAGUUAAAUCCUGACUGAUGGGGGGGGGAGGGCUUAAAAAGUUAGGUCUCAGUUUCCUGUAAGAGUGGGACUGUGGCUUCUGCCUGCCCUGCUCGAGCUGUGGGUGCCUGGGACCACAUCUCAGCCACAUCCCUGCCUGUCCGUGUGUGUUCCCAGUCCAGGAAUGGGGUCUGGGCUCCCAGUGGCCACGGGAAGUGUCUGAGCCCACAGGGCUGAGCUCCCACGUCUUCCUCCCUCCCAGCAGGGCUGUGCUGUUGUGGUGGGCUCUGCGGGUCCUUGGCUGCCGGAGCCACCACUCCCAGGCACAGCCCAGCCCUUCCCACCAGCGCUUCCACCGCCCGGAGAAGCACCCGGAGCCUCGUGUUGGUUGUGUGUGCACCUUCAGAGCCCUCACUGGGGGGGAGGGUGUGGUGGGAACCCUCCCCAGUCCCACUGUCUCCUCGUCCCCAGCGGCCGCGUGUCUCAUCCAGGGAUCUCUUUGUUUACUGUCCGCUUGUCCAAGACGUGUGUGCGUUGAUCUGACUUUUUUAAUUUGUGUUUAUGAUUGAGUUCGAGUGGGGUGGUGAAGACUGAAUGCUGAUUUUCUUUUCCUGUUGGCUUGAUUUAAUGCAGACCUGUGCUUGAAUGAAGAGUGUAGCUUAAAGCCAGGCUCUGGAAAGGCUGCAUCCGGAAGCGAACAAGCACAGCAGAUAGUGCAGGUGUAACUGCCAUGGGAACAAAGUCCUUCAGACUCUGAUUACUGUGCAACGUGGGGCACAACAGCCUGGUCAGGGCGUUUUCCUUCUGCAGGAGGAGGCUCCUGCUGCUCUAGGAAACCUCCAACGUGUGAGUUACAGCAGCGAGUAACUGCUGUCUGAUGGGUUUGCUUUUGUAAAUUGGAAUCACUGUCACGCAGGAGACGAGACUUGAAACCCUGAGGUUGAGCUCGUGAGUUCGUGGGGCUCAACUCGGGGCCACUUGGUCACCCCUUGGUCGGCCCACGGUCACAUGGUGCGGCCUGUGAGGAGCAACUGGGGCCUCCCCCAGGGCUGAGGAGUGAGCAGGUACCUCCUGAGGGCUGAGGAACAAACAGGUACCUCCCCCUGGGCUGAGGGAUGAGCAGGUACCUCCUGAGGGCUGAGGAACAAACAGGUACCUCCCCCAGGGCUGAGAAUGAACAGGUACCUCCCCCUGGGCUGAGAAUGAACAGGUACCUCCCCCAGGGCUGAGAAUGAACAGGUACCUCCCCCUGGGUUGAGAAUGAACAGGUACCUCCCCCUGGGUUGAGGGAUGAACAGGUACCUCCCUCUGGGCUGAGAAUGGACAGGUACCUUCCCCGGGGCUGAGGAGUGAACAGGUACCUCCCCCAGGGCUGAGAAUGAACAGGUACCUCCCCCAGGCUGAGGGAUGAACAGGUACCUCCCCCAGGGCUGAGGAAUGAGCAGGUACUUCCUGAGGGCUGAGAAUGAACAGGUACCUCCCCCAGGGCUGAGAAUGAACAGGUACCUCCCUGGGCUGAGGAGUGAGCAGGUACCUCCUGAGGGCUGAGGAAUGAGCAGGUACCUCCCCCUGGGCUGAGGAACAAACAGGUACCUCCCCCAGGGCUGAGCAGUGAGCAGGUACCUCCUGAGGGCUGAGGAACAAACAGGUACCUCCCCCUGGGCUGAGGAAUGAGCAGGUACCUCCCCCUGGGCUGAGGAACAAACAGGUACCUCCCCCAGGGCUGAGAAUGAACAGGUACCUCCCCCUGGGCUGAGGGAUGAACAGGUACCUCCCCCUGGGUUGAGAAUGAACAGGUACCUCCCCCUGGGUUGAGGGAUGAACAGGUACCUCCCUCUGGGCUGAGAAUGGACAGGUACCUUCCCCGGGGCUGAGGAGUGAACAGGUACCUCCCCCAGGCUGAGGGAUGAACAGGUACCUCCCUGGGCUGAGGAGUGAGCAGGUACCUCCUGAGGGCUGAGGAAUGAGCAGGUACCUCCCCCAGGGCUGAGCAGUGAGCAGGUACCUCCCCCAGGGCUGAGGAACAGACAGGUACCUCCUCCCUGGGCUGAGGAGUGAGCAGGUACCUCCUCCAGGGCUGAGGAGUGGGCAGGUACCUCCUCAGGGCUGAGAAUGAACAGGUACCUCCCCCUGGGCUGAGAAUGAACAGGUGACUCCCCCUGGGCUGAGGAGUGAGCAGGUACCUGCUGAGGGCUGAGGAACAAACAGGUACCUCCCCCUGGGCUGAGAAUGAACAGGUACCUCCCCCAGGGCUGAGAAUGAACAGGUACCUCCUCCAGGGCUGAGGAACAGACAGGUACCUCCCCCAGGGCUGAGAAUGAACAGGUACCUCCUCCCUGGGCUGAGGAGUGAGCAGGUACCUGCUGAGGGCUGAGGAACAAACAGGUACCUCCCCCAGGGCUGAGAAUGAACAGGUACCUCCUCCCUGGGCUGAGGAGUGAGCAGGUACCUGCUGAGGGCUGAGGAACAAACAGGUACCUCCCCCAGGGCUGAGAAUGAACAGGUACCUUCCCCAGGGCUGCCACCCAUCGUGGGAGGCUCUGGAUGUCCGUGGGAGGCUCUGGAUGUCCAUGGGAGGCUCUGGCUGUCCGUGUGCUCACGUGUCCAUGUGGCUGCGACGUGGCCGGGAAAGGGGGCGGGUGGUUUUCAGAGUUUAUUUAAUAUAAAGUCCCUUCCUCCCAUCCCUUUUACUGAUGUUGUACAGAGAAAAAAAAAAAAAAAACCCUCGGUGGGCAAAUGAA
Pipra filicauda (Wire-tailed manakin) is the source of this 4424-nucleotide RNA transcript. It is a transcript of the gene named selenoprotein I, with no coding region annotated. Lineage: Eukaryota; Metazoa; Chordata; Aves; Passeriformes; Pipridae. The transcript is spliced from 10 exons. The record is from RefSeq and is a predicted model, not a curated record.